UAGCAGUUGCCAUUUGGCGGUUCAGCAGUGGUCCGGCGGUUUGGUGGUUUCGUAGCUUGGUGGCUUGGCGACUUGGGUCAAUGUACACUUUACGGAUUUGGCGGCAAAGCGCUGGACAUUUCACUCCGAAGAUCAGAGAUUCAGGUGGAGGGUGGCAACCGGCUGGCCAGGUGCAGUGUGUGAAAGUGUUGCAACUUGCAGAUUGCUGUGGGCUGGACAUGUUCAUAAUUCAAAGCGGCCAAGCAGGCUGACAUUGAAUAAUACAACUAGUACAAUCGCCAGCGAUUGGAACGGAGCCAUUGCCAAAGAAAUGUAAUGAAAUGAAAUGAAUCUGGGCCUGGGCCUGGCCAUGGGCUUGAGUCCGAGCCAAAAGUAGUAAAAGUGUCGUUUUCAAGUGGCAUUUACAACUUUUCGCACAAUGCUGAGCGGCAGAUGUGUGAAAGUUGUCGGCCUGACACUUUUAUAUUGUCAACAUAUUAACGAACAAGGGAACCAAACCCGUUUAAUGGAGAGCUGCUGAGCUGCUCGUUUUGGCCAACAAAAGAACAAAACGCUGGCAACGAAAGUGAAAUGCUUCCUCGCUCGAUCAUAAUUACGAUAAUGACAAAUUUUCGUAAUGAAACGAAAUUGAAGUGCCUUGAAAGUGAAACCUGAGCAAUUAAUGCGCAGCUCUUGCCACGCCCCCUUUUUUUUACUCUUUCUCGAAAAAUCAGUCCGUAGAUUACUUUCGGAGCUUUCGUUUUUUUGUGUGGUCUUUCCCUAGCCGUGAUCUUUUGCUAUUACACAAUGUAGGCGGGGCAGCAGAAAAAGGCGCCAGAUAUUUGCAUUUCAUGAUUCGGCAAUUUCGGCCUCAGAGUCUGUAGUAGAAGGGAAAGACAGCCAGAAGAAAGAAAGAGGCAAAGUUGAAUCCGAACCCAAGCUCAAGCACAAAGCCAAGGUAAAUGGCAAGCCGCAGCCAAAACUGAUUACGAAGUGGAAACUCUCACUUUUACGAUUAUUUUUCUUAUGGCUUUCGGUCGUCAUGAUCUUCAUCAUCAUCUCUUCGCAGAUUGUCUUCUCCAAUGCUAUUGUCUCUUCUGUCCUAUAAUGAUUAGACUUUCAGCCGCUAGAAAAGCAGGCAUAAAAGUCAAUUUUAUGCUCACUUUUUGCCGUUGAUUGGCCAACCCAAACCCCAUCUCCGAUUCCGACUCCGAUCGUGUCACGGAAUUGUCUAUAUGUGUUUUAUGCCGGGCUUGUGAUCUGGAGCAACACUAAAUAUCUCAAUUAGACGUCAUUGUAGGGCUGCCGCGCUGACUGGCAACCACCUGAUGUAGGUCAGGCCUUUCUCUCAAAACUCAAAUGAAUUCCCCGAGCAGUCGAGAUGAGCUGCCAUCGAUAUCGAUGUGCGACCCAUUUGUCCCAGCCAUCCCGGCCCAUCCCAUCCAUUCAUUCAGCAAAAUAUCUAGCCCAACCCACUGACAAUUAAUUAAAGUCAAAUUGUGGUUUGGCUUUUCGGCGCUUUUUGGGGUUUUUGGCCAUCUAUAGUAUGUGGCAGUGACAGAAACGGGUCCCUGUGGCAGACACGCGCUCAAAGUCUCAAAGUCCGAGUCUAACUAUUUUUAUAUCGAUACCGGUUGCCAGUUUCUGUUGUUGCACUCCCCUUGAACCGACUCUUUCAUUUUAAAUUUUCAGCAUUUCUAAGGUUGCAGCUACACACAGAAAAAUAUUGACAAUUUCUGGGGGUAACAAAUUACAUUAUUACAUCUGAUAGAGAACUCAAACAAUCCCCAAUUUUUACUUUUGUAGUUUUAAUAUUUUGAGUGUAAUUUGGUUGAUUUAAUAUGAAUCCAAGAAAUAUUUUUCCUAGUGGAUCCAAACGAAUCGAAGAAAGUGCCGUGCUGCCCAUAUCCGUUUUUGACUCGAUUUAUGCAUUGAGGUGGAGCCAAGCGACCAGGCAGACAAAGCGGGGCGACUCACUCAGUUACAUCGAUAUACCGAUGACGAGCAUCCCGGCCAUGUGAAUGUGAUUGGGCGCGGAUGCCUUGGGUAAGGUGGAAUAUAAAUCGGAAAGAUUAAAAAAAAUAUUCAAGAAAAAAGUUUCACUUUCUCAAGAGUUUACAGUUACUCAUACAUAAAUAUGGAAGCUUAUGGCCGGCUAAGUUAUUGCUCUUUUGGCCGGCCACGAAAGACAGCCGGCAGGAGAGAUGGCCAAAAA
This is a long non-coding RNA of Drosophila ananassae, 2194 nucleotides long. RefSeq lists it as uncharacterized. Lineage: Eukaryota; Metazoa; Arthropoda; Insecta; Diptera; Drosophilidae. The record is from RefSeq and is a predicted model, not a curated record. The transcript has 2 exons.